UACAGAGGUCUCAAGCGUUGUUCGGAUUCAUUGGGCGUAAAGGGUGCGUAGGCGGCGCGGUAAGUCGGGUGUGAAAUCUCGGAGCUUAACUCCGAAACUGCAUUCGAUACUGCCGUGCUUGAGGACUGGAGAGGAGACUGGAAUUUACGGUGUAGCGGUGAAAUGCGUAGAUAUCGUGAGGAAGACCAGUGGCGAAGGCGGGUCUCUGGACAGUUCCUGACGCUGAGGCACGAAAGCGUGGGGAGCAAACAGG
Molecule: ribosomal RNA, 253 nt
Filed under: uncultured bacterium
Lineage: Bacteria
Description: partial 16S ribosomal RNA
Rfam family: Bacterial small subunit ribosomal RNA
Source: RNAcentral